GAAAUGCGAUAAGUAAUGUGAAUUGCAGAAUUCCGUGAAUCAUCGAAUCUUUGAACGCACAUUGCGCCCUCUGGUAUUCCGGGGGGCAUGCCUGUCCGAGCGUCAUUACGCACCCUCAAGCCCGGCUUGUGUGAUGGGCUCCAGCGUCUCCUUCCGGGAGACGGGCCCCAAAGGCAGCGGCAGCGUCGACCCGAGAAGCCCGAACGUAUGGGGACUAUCGUCACACGUUCGCGGUGCGGACCCACGCUCGCCAUGACUUUUUUUCUUAGGUUGACCUCGGAUCAGGUAGGGAUACCCGCUGAACUUAAGC
This 310-nucleotide unclassified non-coding RNA is filed under the name plant metagenome. Its description in RNAcentral is "partial contains 5.8S ribosomal RNA, internal transcribed spacer 2, and large subunit ribosomal RNA". The stretch from base 1 to 105 matches the Rfam family "5.8S ribosomal RNA", at positions 50 to 154 of the family's 154-position model. The record is from RNAcentral.